Molecule: long non-coding RNA, 461 nt
Organism: Limulus polyphemus (Atlantic horseshoe crab)
Lineage: Eukaryota; Metazoa; Arthropoda; Merostomata; Xiphosura; Limulidae
Exons: 2
Source: RefSeq, a predicted model, not a curated record
GGUAACACGUGUUGAACUUGCACGUAGUAACCUCGUGCUCAGAGAGUUGUAAUGUUCAACAAGGUGACGAGUAGCUAGAGAGGACAAUCUACUGAUACUUGUCUUUAAGUUACUUGCAGCUAAACGAAAAUUCUUAUAAUCUGAUAUUAAUACGUAAUAUUAACAACAUUCUUUGAGUAUCUGAGGUGCUGUUGGUCAACAUUAAAUAUAAAUACUGAACUACAGUAAAACAACACCAACAUUGUAGCGGUUCUUCCUUUACUUUUAGUACUGUGUUUAUUAAAGAUGGUGAGACAUGAAAUUUACCAAAUGAUGAUCAGUAUCAAACCUAUGAUGAUUCUUCUUCUGGUUCAUCAGAGCUGUCAGAUAGACACGAACUUCAACAAAUGUCAACUGACAUCAGUAUCAAGUGUACUGGAUUCAAUCAAUCUACUGGUUACACAAGCUAAACAGAAAAUACA